GGUUACUAAGAUGUGGCAAGAGUUGCAGAUUGAGAUGGAUCAACUAUUUGAGAGCUGAUCUCAAAAGAGGAAACAUCUCUAUUGAAGAGGAAGCCAUCGUCACUAAGUUGCUUGCUUUUUUUGGCAACAGCGAGAGAUCAAUGACAACAAAGAAG
Molecule: non-coding RNA, 155 nt
Organism: Arachis ipaensis
Lineage: Eukaryota; Viridiplantae; Streptophyta; Magnoliopsida; Fabales; Fabaceae
Source: RefSeq, a predicted model, not a curated record